CUGAAAUGUCUCUAUGAGAUGGAAAUGUCUCUACGAGUUGUUUCUACAGACACAAUCCACAUUGGAAGAGAAGAAACCUCUGCGCAUCCCUCCCACUCUAUCCCAUCCAAGGUUUGUACCCACUGAAGCAUGACAACUCAAAGUUCAGACUGAACCUUCAUCCUCAGCAAAUUCCAUUGUGUGUGAAAAGGAAAACAAACAAGAUUAUUUAGAAUUGGGAAAUGUAAAAAUGCAGAAAAGAAGAGUUAAAGGAGCAAAAGAAAUUGGUUGAAGAGGCAAAAUGGAAGACGUUGCAAAACAUAUAAGCUCAGAAUGCCCCCUUUUCAAAAUCACAUGGCACAACCAGUACAUGCUAGGUGCAGUG
Molecule: long non-coding RNA, 364 nt
Organism: Hemicordylus capensis (graceful crag lizard)
Lineage: Eukaryota; Metazoa; Chordata; Lepidosauria; Squamata; Cordylidae
Exons: 3
Source: RefSeq, a predicted model, not a curated record